RNAcentral lists this ribosomal RNA (252 nucleotides) under uncultured bacterium. RNAcentral describes it as "partial 16S ribosomal RNA". It matches the Rfam family "Bacterial small subunit ribosomal RNA", at positions 524 to 776 of the family's 1533-position model. The record is from RNAcentral.
UACGGAGGAUGCGAGCGUUAUCCGGAUUUAUUGGGUUUAAAGGGUGCGUAGGCGGAGUGCCAAGUCAGCGGUAAAAAUUCGGGGCUCAACCCCGUCGUGCCGUUGAAACUGGCGCCCAUGAGUGGGCGAGAAGUAUGCGGAAUGCGUGGUGUAGCGGUGAAAUGCAUAGAUAUCACGCAGAACUCCGAUUGCGAAGGCAGCGUACCGGCAUCCAACUGACGCUGAGGCACGAAAGCGUGGGGAUCAAACAGG